GCUUCUGAUUCCCACAGAUCAAAAGCAAAAAAGUAGGCCUAGCAUCAGCUAGGCCUACUUUUUUUAUUUACCUU
This 74-nucleotide small RNA is filed under the name Listeria monocytogenes serotype 4b str. LL195. RNAcentral's name for it is "ctRNA". Lineage: Bacteria; Bacillati; Bacillota; Bacilli; Caryophanales; Listeriaceae. The record is from RNAcentral.